UUGAGAAUCGGUUCUCGCUUUCGGAAAAAGAUUUCGCUUAUGCAAGAGAGUUUUCUUACGAAUCUUUACCUUCUCGAUCUUCAUCUGCAGUUUGAAAAUGCAAAAAGGUACUUCAGGGAGGGAUGCUUCGAUAACCUGAAGCUCGUUGCUGAGAAGGCUUGGGAUCUUGAAAUGAAGAAAGCGACUUGGGUGAAUGAUGUGAUAACUUUUAGGAAGGAAGUUGGAGGAUGAGAGGAUAAAAUGAGAAUGAAAAAAACGACUGCGAUGAAGAUUAUGUAGGUUCGAUUCUGAUCGGGGGGAUGUUAUUUGGUUUUUUUUCU
Molecule: non-coding RNA, 320 nt
Organism: Prunus avium (sweet cherry)
Lineage: Eukaryota; Viridiplantae; Streptophyta; Magnoliopsida; Rosales; Rosaceae
Source: RefSeq, a predicted model, not a curated record